This 3691-nucleotide unclassified non-coding RNA is filed under the name Amphimedon queenslandica. Its description in RNAcentral is "indole-3-acetaldehyde oxidase-like, transcript variant X1". Lineage: Eukaryota; Metazoa; Porifera; Demospongiae; Haplosclerida; Niphatidae. The record is from RNAcentral.
GUGGUCACGUGAUCACAUGAGAUUGUGAGCUCCAUUUCUCACUGUACUCUGCUCUGGCAAUGUCGACAAGCCUACCUCUUAAAGUUGUUAGUUUUACUUUAAAUGAACGGAGAGUGGAGCUGAAUGAUCCUAGUCCUAAUACCAGUCUAAACGAGUGGAUACGGUCCCAGUAUAGGCUCUCUGGGACCAAGAGAAUGUGCGGUGAAGGAGGCUGCGGGUGUUGCGUAGUCUCUGCAACUAAGACGGACCUCUUGAGUAACGAGCAGGUUACUCUAGCCAUCAACUCUUGCUUGUGUCCUUUGUAUUCCAUUAAUGGUUGGUCUAUUACUACGGUUGAAGGAAUUGGCAGCUCUAAGAAAGGGUUUCAUCCUAUACAGAAAAGGAUUGCAGAGUACAAUGGAACCCAGUGUGGUUACUGCACCCCUGGCAUGGUCAUGAGCAUGUACAGUUUACUUCAAAAGAUUCCCGAACCAACAAAGCAGAUUGUUGAGGACAAUUUUGAUGGUAAUAUCUGUCGUUGUACAGGUUAUCGUCCAAUAUUGGAUGCAAUGAAAUCCUUUGCAGUUGAUUCAGAUGAACCAGUAGUCGUUGAUAUUGAAGAGUUUUCUCCAGUGAAAUGCUCCCCAUGUCCUCUCCUUAUUGUCUCUGAUGAUUGGUUCACACAGUCAAGGGCCCAGUCAGACCCUCACUGGUAUCAACCCACAGGACUCUCUGAAGCUUUUAGCAUUUAUAAAGCUAAUCUUAAUUCAACUGUCAAGCUUGUUAAUGGGAACACUGGGAAAGGUGUUUUUAAGGAAACAGGUGACAUUAAUGUUUAUAUUGAAUUAAAUUCUAUGAAGGAGCUUUACUUUAUGCAAGUACAUGACACUUAUAUUAGUAUUGGUGCUGGCAUAUCAAUUAAUGGACUUAUUGAUAUUUUGCUGAGCAAUAAGGACAAGUCAAUCAGUUUCAAGCCUCUAGCUGAUCAUCUUAAAAAAAUUGCUAAUGUUCCAGUCAGAAAUAUAGGCACUUGGGCUGGUAACUUGAUGCUCACUCAUAAUAAUGAUAACUUUCCUUCUGACGUAUUCACAAUUAUGAAAGCAGCUGGUGCUACUUUAUCAAUUGCUCAUGAUGGUGGCACUGGUGAAUAUCCUUUGUCCGAUUUCUUGAGUUUGGAUAUGACAGAGAGAAUAAUUGUGUCUAUACAGAUUCCUUACUGCAGCCCCAACACUGUAUUCACCACAUUAAAAAUAAUGCCUCGCUCACAGAAUGCUCAUGCUUAUGUUAAUGCUGCAUUCAGUAUGGAAGUUAAUCCUGACAAUAUGCUAGUUAAAUCUUUACCUUCAUUUGUAUUUGGAGGCAUCAAUGAACAUGCAAUAUCAGCUCCAAUAACUGAGUCAUUCAUGAUUGGUAAGUCAUUGAAGGAUCUCAAUACACUGAAGGGGGCCCUAAAGAACCUUUCUAAUGAGAUCAGACCUAAUGCCCCUCCUGUAUCAGCUAGUCCUGGGUAUAGGAAGAGCCUUGCUCUAAGCCUGUUUUAUAAGUUUUAUCUUGAGGCUCUUGGUAGUGCUAACAUUAAUCCACUCUACCAGUCAGGAGCUGUACCUUAUGUUCGUCCAGUGUCCCAAGGGUCCCAGUCAUACAGCACUGACUCCAGCAAGUAUCCUGUGAAUCAACCACUACCCAAACUGACUGCUACUCUACAGGCUUCAGGUGAGGCAGAGUAUACUACUGAUAUUCCACGUCGUCCUGGAGAACUGGCUGCAGCAUUUGUACUCACUACUCAAGGUAAUGCAAAGAUAUUAUCAAUGGAAACGUCUGAAGCAAUGGCAGUUGAAGGUGCAGUAGCAAUAGUGUCUGCUAAAGACAUUCCUCAAAAUGGAAAGAAUGAUUUUAUGCUUGGAAUAGCUGGUGACCCUGAGAUUGUAUUUGCUACUGAUGUAUCAGAAUAUGCUGGUCAAGCAGUUGGACUAGCACUGGCUGAUACUCAAGAGCAUGCACUGAAAAUGGCCAAAGCUGUAACUCUUACCUACCAGAGUCAGGGGAAGCAGAUACUCACCAUACAAGAUGCUAUUGAUGCUAAAUCCUUUUAUGAUAAAGAGCCAGAUAUUGUUGUUGGAGAUGCUGAUGGUUCUAUUAAAGGAUCAGAUCACGUUGUUACUGGUGACAUUUAUUGUGAUACACAGUAUCAUUUCACUAUGGAGACUCAAACUGCAUUUGUAAUACCUGAGGAUGAUGGUUAUACAGUCUACAGCUCAAACCAGUGGGCUCAGUUAGGACAAUUUGCUGUUGCUGGCAUACUUGGAAUACCAGAAAACAAGGUUACAGUAGUCAUUAAAAGAGUGGGCGGUGCUUACGGGUCUAAAAUCAGUCGUGCCUCUCAGGUAGCAGCUGCCUGUGCUUUAGGAUCAUAUGUCACUCAAAGGCCAGUGAGGCUACACAUGGAUCUUGAGUCUAACAUGAAAAUGGUUGGGAAGAGAUACCCUUACUAUGCCAAAUACACUGUUGGUUGUACUAAGGCUGGGGUUCUAAAUGGGAUUAAAAUUGACGUGUUCACUGAUGCUGGCUGCAGUAGCAAUGACUCCUACUUACCUUAUGCACUAAGGAACCUUGAUAACACUUACAACUGCUCUAAUUGGUCAAUAACACAGACUACCUGUAGAACACACACUCCCAGUAAUACUUAUACAAGGGCACCUGGGUAUCUGCCUGGUGUGUUCAUUAUUGAGUCACUAAUGGAUGAUGUAGCUACCAAGAUAGGCAUGGAUAUCGAGGAAUUCAAGCAUGCCAACUUUUACAAGAAAGGAGACAUUUCUCUUCUGUCAUUCCCACCAAAGGGACAGGCUUUAACAUACUGUAAUAUUGAUGACCUCUGGCAACAAAUGAUGAAGACUGCUGAUGUCCAGGCUAGAAAAGACAAAAUCUCAGACUUUAACAAAGCUAACAGAUGGAGGAAGAGAGGGUUGUCUGUGGUCCCAUUGAGAUAUGGUCUAGAAUGGAAUGGGACUAAUAGCACUGUAUUGGUUAGUGUGUAUUCUGGGGAUGGAUCAGUCUCUGUUGUACAUGGAGGAGUUGAGAUAGGACAAGGAAUUAACACUAAAGUUGCACAGGUCACUGCCAGUACUCUUGGUAUUCCAUUGAGCUCAGUUACUGUUGUACCUACUAAUACAUUCACAAGCCCCAACAACACUACAACUGGUGGCAGCGUUACCAGUGAGAUCAACUGUAAAGGUGCACUGUUGGCUUGCCAGUCAUUAAAGCAAAGACUUGAUAAAGUGAAGGAAGGAUUGAUAUCAGAUGAUGUGUCUGAUCCCACCUGGCUACAAAUAGUACAAAAGGCUUUCUCUAGUGGAAUAGACCUCUCAGAGAAACACUAUGAGUUUGCUACUAAUGACUUAUUUGCUGCCUAUAAUGCUUAUGGGACCACAGUAACUGAAGUAGAGCUUGAUGUACUGACAGGACAAACUGAAAUAUUAAGAGUUGAUCUCUUAUAUGAUUGUGGAGACAGAUUGAUGUUGGGCAAGUUGAAGGUGCAUUUGUGAUGGGAUUGGGCUAUUUCUUAACUGAGAGAGUUGUCUAUGAUAAAGAUACAGGAGCACUGCUAACACAUAACACAUGGGAGUACAAGCCACCCACUACUAAAGAUAUUCCUAUUGAUUUCAGAGUUGAGCUGCUUAAAAAUGCACCAAAUCCUCUAGGAAUACUUGGCUCU